GCCUUUAGGCGAGCCGACCCAAUGGACAUGGUCGGUGCUAAGUCGGUAGGCGAUGAGGGCGAUAGGAAAAUCCGUUGCCUGAGCUGAGAGACGAUGGUGAAACGCGUAAGCGUGAAGUCGUUGACCCAAGCCUCCAAGAAAAGUCUCGUAGUGAUGAAGCACAGCAUCCGUACCGCAAACCGACACUGGUAGAUACGUUGAGAAUACGAAGGUGAACGGGAGAACCCUCCUUAAGGAACUAGGCAAAAUAGUCUCGUAACUUCGGGAGAAGAGACACCCCUGAGCGUGAAGGAUGAACAUUUGGAGCGCAUGGGGGUCGCAGAGAAAUGGCUCUAGUGACUGUUUAACAAAAACACAGGUCUCUGCUAAGCCGUAAGGCGAAGUAUAGGGGCUGACGCCUGCCCAGUGCCGGAAGGUUGAGGGGAGAGGUUAGCGCAAGCGAAGCUUUGAACUGAAGCCCCGGUGAACGGCGGCCGUAACGAUAACGGUCCUAAGGUAGCGAAAUUCCUUGUCGGGUAAGUUCCGACCCGCACUAAUGGCGUAACAACUGGAGCACUGUCUCAAGGAGGGACCCGGCGAAAUUGAAAUACCUGUGAAGAUGCAGGUUACCCGCAGCAGGACAAAAAGACCCCGUGGAGCUUUACUAUACUUUGGCAUUGCGUUUGGAUAUAGUUUGUCCAGGAUAGGUGGGAGGCUUUGAAGCCGGAACGCUAGUUUCGGUGGAGCCGCCGUUGGGAUACCACCCUGACUAUGUUUAGACCCUAACCCCAAGCCCGAAACGGGCUGGGAGACAGUGCCAGACGGGUAGUUUGACUGGGGCGGUCGCCUCCUAAAAGGUAACGGAGGCGCCCAAAGGUUCCCUCAGGCUGAAUGGAAACCAGCCAAAGAGUGUAAAGGCAUAAGGGAGCUUGACUGCAAGGCCAACAAGCCGCGCAGAGACGAAAGUCGGGCUUAGUGAUCCCACGACACUGAGUGGAAGGGUCGUGGCUCAUCGGACAAAAGCUACCCCGGGGAUAACAGGCUAGUCUUGCCCAAGAGUUCACAUCGACGGCAAGGCUCGGCACCUCGAUGUCGGCUCAUCGCAUCCUGGGGCUGGAUAAGGUCCCAAGGGUUGGGCUGUUCGCCCAUUAAAGCGGUACGUGAGCUGGGUUCAGACCGUCGUGAGACAGGUCGGUCUCUAUCCGCUGUGGGCGUAGGGGAUUUGAGUGGAGCUGCUCCUAGUACGAGAGGACCGGAGUGGACGCACCGCUGGUGUGCCAGUUGUCGUGCCAAACGGCAUAGCUGGGUAGCUAAGUGCGGCAGAGAUAACCGCUGAAAGCAUCUAAGUGGGAAACUCGCCACAAGAUUAGAUCCCCCAUGGCGAUAAGCCAGUAAGACCGCAGGAAGACUACCUGCUUGAUAGGCGGCAAGUGUAAGCGCAGUAAUGCGUGAGCUUAGCCGUACUAAUGGUCGAGGGCUUCACCCA
This 1465-nucleotide ribosomal RNA is filed under the name metagenome. Its description in RNAcentral is "bacterial LSU rRNA". It matches the Rfam family "Bacterial large subunit ribosomal RNA", at positions 1477 to 2925 of the family's 2925-position model. The record is from RNAcentral.